Molecule: long non-coding RNA, 350 nt
Filed under: Coturnix japonica (Japanese quail)
Lineage: Eukaryota; Metazoa; Chordata; Aves; Galliformes; Phasianidae
Description: lncRNA (ENSCJPG00005005023.1)
Source: RNAcentral
GGGUUUGAAAAUAGGGGCAAAUUGUGUUUGAAAAUAGGGGGCAAAUAUCAGAGUCUGAAAAUGGGCAAAUUGUGUUUGAAAAUAGGGGGCAAAUAUCAGAGUCUGAAAAUGGGCAAAUUGUGUUUGAAAAUAGGGGGCAAAUCCACGUCUGAAAAUGGGGGGCAGCGCUGUGACCCCCAAAUGAGCACAGAGCUUCAUUUCAAAAUGGGGGGCAGCUCUGCGUCUGAAAAUAGGGGGCAAAUCCACGUCUGAAAAUUGGGGGCAAAUCUGAUGCCCCCAGUUGGGGGCAGCGCAGUGUCUGAAAAUAGGGGGCAAAUAAAGGGGGGGGGGUAAAUCCGUGUCUGAAAAUG